CAUCAAUAAGGACUGCCACACAAUACAUAAAAAAACAAUCAAGACAACAACCUUCCAAACAGCAGCCCAGCUUCCACCACACCUCCCAGUCUUCAAUUCAGGCAGGAACCAUUAAUCAGAAGAAGAAGUAUCACCUUCACCUUCAUCUUCAUCUUCAGAACACUCAGAGCUUCCAGAGCUGCCACUGGAUUGUGCUUUUUCAUCUGAAUCCUUACCAGUCUUCUCUUUUUCCAGCCUACAAAUAAGAGCUUCCAAAGCUUCUUU
This 264-nucleotide long non-coding RNA is filed under the name Lathyrus oleraceus (garden pea). Its description in RNAcentral is "Pisum sativum (pea) long non-coding RNA (PSAT_LNC014038)". Lineage: Eukaryota; Viridiplantae; Streptophyta; Magnoliopsida; Fabales; Fabaceae. The record is from RNAcentral.